GGUCAAGUGAAGAAGCGCAUACGGUGGAUGCCUUGGCAGUCAGAGGCGAUGAAAGACGUGGUAGCCUGCGAAAAGCUUCGGGGAGUCGGCAAACAGACUGUGAUCCGGAGAUGUCUGAAUGGGGGAACCCAGCCAUCACAAGAUGGUUAUCUUGUACUGAAUACAUAGGUGCAAGAGGCGAACCAGGGGAACUGAAACAUCUAAGUACCCUGAGGAAUAGAAAUCAACCGAGAUUCCCUUAGUAGUGGCGAGCGAACGGGGACCAGCCCUUAAGUUGGUUUGAGAUUAGUGGAACGCUCUGGAAAGUGCGGCCGUAGUGGGUGAUAGCCCUGUACACGAAAAUCUCUUAUCAAUGAAAUCGAGUAGGACGGGGCACGAGAAACCUUGUCUGAACAUGGGGGGACCAUCCUCCAAGGCUAAAUACUACUGACUGACCGAUAGUGAACCAGUACCGUGAGGGAAAGGCGAAAAGAACCCCGGAGAGGGGAGUGAAAUAGAUCCUGAAACCGUAUGCGUACAAGCAGUGGGAGCCCACUUUGUUGGGUGACUGCGUACCUUUUGUAUAAUGGGUCAGCGACUUAUAUUCAGUGGCGAGCUUAACCGAAUAGGGGAGGCGUAGCGAAAGCGAGUCUUAAUAGGGCGACAGUCGCUGGGUAUAGACCCGAAACCGGGCGAUCUAUCCAUGGGCAGGUUGAAGGUUAGGUAACACUGACUGGAGGACCGAACCGACUACCGUUGAAAAGUUAGCGGAUGACCUGUGGAUCGGAGUGAAAGGCUAAUCAAGCUCGGAGAUAGCUGGUUCUCCUCGAAAGCUAUUUAGGUAGCGCCUCAUGUAUCACUGUAGGGGGUAGAGCACUGUUUCGGCUAGGGGGUCAUCCCGACUUACCAAACCGAUGCAAACUCCGAAUACCUACAAGUGCCGAGCAUGGGAGACACACGGCGGGUGCUAACGUCCGUCGUGAAAAGGGAAACAACCCAGACCGUCAGCUAAGGUCCCAAAAUCCUGGUUAAGUGGGAAACGAUGUGGGAAGGCUUAGACAGCUAGGAGGUUGGCUUAGAAGCAGCCACCCUUUAAAGAAAGCGUAAUAGCUCACUAGUCGAGUCGGCCUGCGCGGAAGAUGUAACGGGGCUCAAACCAGGUACCGAAGCUACGGGUAUCAUCUUUUGAUGAUGCGGUAGAGGAGCGUUCUGUAAGCCUGUGAAGGUGAGUUGAGAAGCUUGCUGGAGGUAUCAGAAGUGCGAAUGCUGACAUGAGUAACGACAAUGGGAGUGAAAAACUCCCACGCCGAAAGACCAAGGUUUCCUGCGCAACGUUAAUCGACGCAGGGUUAGUCGGUCCCUAAGGCGAGGCUGAAAAGCGUAGUCGAUGGAAAACAGGUUAAUAUUCCUGUACUUCUUGUUACUGCGAUGGAGGGACGGAGAAGGCUAGGCCAGCCUGGCGUUGGUUGUCCAGGUUUAAGGUGGUAGGCUGGGAUCUUAGGUAAAUCCGGGAUCCCAAGGCCGAGAGCUGAUGACGAGUGUUCUUUCAGAACAUGAAGUGGUUGAUGCCAUGCUUCCAGGAAAAGCUCCUAAGCUUCAGGUAACAAGGAACCGUACCCCAAACCGACACAGGUGGUUGGGUAGAGAAUACCAAGGCGCUUGAGAGAACUCGGGUGAAGGAACUAGGCAAAAUGGCACCGUAACUUCGGGAGAAGGUGCGCCGGUGAGGGUGAAGGACUUGCUCCGUAAGCUCAUGCCGGUCGAAGAUACCAGGCCGCUGCGACUGUUUAUUAAAAACACAGCACUCUGCAAACACGAAAGUGGACGUAUAGGGUGUGACGCCUGCCCGGUGCCGGAAGGUUAAUUGAUGGGGUUAGCGCAAGCGAAGCUCUUGAUCGAAGCCCCGGUAAACGGCGGCCGUAACUAUAACGGUCCUAAGGUAGCGAAAUUCCUUGUCGGGUAAGUUCCGACCUGCACGAAUGGCGUAACGAUGGCGGCGCUGUCUCCACCCGAGACUCAGUGAAAUUGAAAUCGCUGUGAAGAUGCAGUGUAUCCGCGGCUAGACGGAAAGACCCCGUGAACCUUUACUAUAGCUUUGCACUGGACUUUGAAUUUGCUUGUGUAGGAUAGGUGGGAGGCUUUGAAG
Molecule: ribosomal RNA, 2125 nt
Filed under: Pseudomonas syringae
Lineage: Bacteria; Pseudomonadati; Pseudomonadota; Gammaproteobacteria; Pseudomonadales; Pseudomonadaceae
Description: partial 23S ribosomal RNA
Rfam family: Bacterial large subunit ribosomal RNA
Source: RNAcentral